AUGAUGGCCCCUUUGUUCCACCCUACAGAGGGGAUUCUUUCCUACCAAAUUAAUACCAGCCAAAAGACAAAUGGUGACAUUUUGCCCUUAACCAAAGUGUGGUACCUGCUCUGUCUCAUCAAUGUGUACAGCUUAAUGAGGGGCUUUUGCAACGUACCCGAGGAAAGACAAGAUUGCCACGGCUCUAUAGGAGCAGCCAUCAGUUCUCCUGUGUUUGGAAUAUCCUUCCCUUCAUGUUCAGAUCUUGAUGUCAUGGCAUUCUCAUCUCUAGCAGUACUAUUUCUGGUGACUUUUAACAGUUUCAGAUAAUUUUUGGAAGCUUUGAAGAUUUACUACCAAUAAUUCCCUCUUUUUGAAACUAGAUGGCUGGCUUAGCUGUAUGCUUAGUACUGCCUGCUAUUAAGGGACAAGUCUAUGAAAAAUGGUCCUAAUAAUAUUUUUAAACACUCAGAUGUUUUGCAUGUAUUAAAGCUAGGAUAGUGGAAAGCUGCAUACAGAAUGUCUGAAGUACCAUAACAUUUGUAUUGGCAUUCGCUUGAUUUGUACUACCUAGUUCAUUAUUCAAAUCAGUGCCAUUUAUUUUUUUGAAUAUUUAAAAUAAGGGUCAUUUGAAGGUAAGUCCCAGGUAUUCUUUCCACCUAUUGGAAUUUAUGCAUAUUAGUCAUUUUCUUUAAUCUUUGCUAUGAUAUUUACUCCUAUUUUUAUACAUACAUUUUACCGAUGCCUGUAACUUCUUAGCGCUAUUUUUUUUUUUUUCUAAAUCAUGGAUUUAUUUUUAGCAGCUUCUGGUAUAUUACAAUGAUUUUUGGCCAUAUGUUUGGGUGUGCAUGAGAACGGGUAUGAGGAUUCUUGCACAGGAAGGAGAAAAUCGGCUCUGUUGGUGGUACAAAUAUCAAGCUGAUUAACUAAGGCAGCUUUUUGCUGCUCUGUGACUAUAGAAGUAGACUUUGGACAGCUAUGGAAUAUCCCCAGUCAGAACCUCGAGAAAUAACGUUACCGAACUUUUUGCAGUCGAGUUUAUCUCACUGCACCGGAACAGUUACACGUUUCGGCAAUGAAAUAAUUAAUAAUCUUGACAUCUAAGGAAGUGUUAACACAAUUGAUGGUAGAAAACAAAUAUAAAUUCUCCCGUGUUUUCACUUGACAAGAAAGGGAAGGAGCAGAAUGAUUGAGGACUCGCAUGAGUUAUGAACUGGACUCACAGUGCGAAUCUGGGCGUUACACCCAGCGCUCCGAGCUGUGCUGUGCAGAUGUGCUGGAUGUGUGGGAAACAUCCCAGCCAGUUUGUCUUGGUGGAUUGCCUGACAAGCAAUUGCUGUUUCCCAAAAAAGUACUCGGGAACUUCCACAGCCGAGCCUUUUAAUUCAUCAGGUGUUGGUGAUUCGAUAAGACCAAAUGAAAAGAAAGCAACGUAGGACCGAUGGAGGUAUUAGUAUCGCACAGGAUAGGCUGAAUUUGCUCUUGUACGGAAGGGGUGUGUGUCUCAUUUUACAGAAAGUUGAAAGCACUGGUGAUUGGAAAAGAUGACACACUGCACAAAAUUCGAACGGAAGACUGAAAGCUGAAUGAGAUUAAGGACAUGAGCUAAACUGGGUGAAAACCGCAAAGAGAAAAACAACUUCAGCCUUAGCAGCAGCAGUCCUGUAUUUAUGUGGGACAAAUCUUCUUGAAUAUCUAAUACAAAUUAGCCUGUAAAUUCAGACUAAUUAUCUUGGUAGGGGGAAAAAAAAAAAAAAAAAGUGGGUGGGAAGACUGUGUUCUCACCAGCUCUUCAUCUCAAUUGUUGAAUCUGGAGGUUAAAACGGUCAGGAGUGGAAAAAGUGCAGGGAUGAAUAGAGAAAGAGCUGCUGAGUGAAAAGGGGGGAAGAACGCUGAGGUGAAUAAGCGUGGGAUUGGGUGAGAUGAACAAAACUCCUCUAAAUAGUUUAACUGUACGGUGCUGUUAUUUUCAGCAGUUUCCUUCACGAACAGACUGAGAGGUUAAAUGACAAAGCUGGGGUGUUUGUAACAUAUUUACUACUCGGACACUUCUUCACGUGUUGAAGGCAAGCUGCACGGUGCGUAUUCCUCACUUUACCACCGGAACAAAUUGCAGCCACACAAAUCUUACUUUUUUUCUUCAAAUCUCAAGCUUAUUCAGCCCAAAGCUCCUCACCCUACUGUCCUGCACCCACACAACUUGCUUUUUUCCCCACGGGUGAGGACACACGCGUUUCCCGUCACGGAGCCGAGCCCCCCACCACAGCCCCUCCCCGGCGGGCCAGGUGCCCGUUCACGAAUCGGCUCCGGGGACGGGCCCGGCGCCGGGCAGCCCGCCCGCCAUUAGCCGUUAACGGCCGCCCAACGGCUCCCGCGCACGCGCGAGGGGCAGGGAGGGGGCGGGGCCACCGCCGGCGGAGCGCGCGAAAAUUCCAAACCGGCGGCGCGAGCCGGGCCGCGCGGUAAGGCGCGGGGAGGGGGCGGGGCCGCGGCGGGCGCGAGGGUGGGCAGGGGGUGGCGGCGGCGGCAAAGCGGGGGUCGGGGGGGGGGGAGCGCGCAUGCGCGAUCGUGGGGGGGGGCAGGGGCAGAGGGGGCAGAGGGGGGAGGUGGGAGGUGGGCUGGGGGAGUUGGUCACGUCAUGUCGUGGCGUGUUACGUCAUGUCGUGUCAUGACACGUCACGACAUGUCGCGGGGCGCUGCCCGUGGUCCCGUCCGCGUGGGGCCGCGUUCGGCACCGCCGGCCUGCAGGAGCCGGGCGAGCCCGGGCAGCGCGGAGGUUGAUUCUGGAAUGCAGUUACAAUAAAGAUGCGAAGCCCUUUUUAAGCUCAAAACCCAUUUUUUCUGUUAAAAAGGCAACUCCUCAGGCUGCCGGCAGCAAGCCACGCGCCGCCGUCGCCCCUCAGGGCCCUGCGCCCCGUGGCCGUGUUUGUUCGCUGCCGCCACCGCUGGGCUGGCUGCAGGACAGCCUGGCACCGCCUCCCAGAAGGGAUGCCCGCCCUGUUAGAAAGCACCGGGCACAGUUACCCUCCCGUUAAUGGGGCCGCUUGGUGCACUGCAGACCCUAAAACCACCUCUUAAAUCCCCUUUGUUUCUUUUCCGCUAAGGUACAUGUUUCCACAUACUUACCUAGAGUUGCAAAGGUGCAAAAGAUGUCUUUUGACAAAGAUAUCUUGCAAAAGACGGGUGGAGGAUUUUAUGAUGGGCGAAACAAUUGUUUCCUGGAAAAAAAAUCGGUCAGAAAAUGUUACAGGCCUAUGAUAGAGACCUGAUACGUGUCCUCUAAAACAUAGAGCUGAUUUGGACGUCUG
RNAcentral lists this long non-coding RNA (3287 nucleotides) under Cairina moschata (Muscovy duck). RNAcentral's name for it is "domestica (muscovy Duck (domestic type)) lncRNA (ENSCMMG00000016574.1)". The record is from RNAcentral. Lineage: Eukaryota; Metazoa; Chordata; Aves; Anseriformes; Anatidae.